AUUCAUUGAUUUCAUGAAAACACACACAUACAUCGACACAUAGCUCGGGGUGCCGGGGCAAUAAAGCCGCUGGUCGAACUAUGGGAUGUAUGGAGGCAUAACC
This 103-nucleotide small RNA is filed under the name Pseudidiomarina indica. RNAcentral describes it as "Idiomarina indica t44 RNA". It matches the Rfam family "t44 RNA". From Rfam's summary of the family: This family consists of a number of bacterial RNA genes of between 135 and 170 bases in length. The record is from RNAcentral. Lineage: Bacteria; Pseudomonadati; Pseudomonadota; Gammaproteobacteria; Alteromonadales; Idiomarinaceae.